AAUACUUGAGAAAUUACAUGAAGAGCUUCUUCAUUCCAAAGUAUGAAAUUUUCAAGAAGGUUCACACUAUUAGAAAAUGGAACAUGGAAUUUCACUCCAUUGAUUAUUAAAAUAAAAAGCAAACAAUGGGACAAGAUAAAGAAAAUUUACCAGGCCACUUUCUGCCAGGCAGAACACCUGUCCAAUCAAUACUAAAUUAAUUUAAACAGCAUUUACUUUCUAGAAGGUGCUGACUAUGUGAAUCAUUUGUUUCAGACAUGUCUGUAAGUAUUCCUACUAAACUACUGGCCAACUCUACAUAUAAAGUGAAGAAUAAUGAGCAAUAUAGGUGAAAACAAACAAAAACCCUUUCUUUUCAUGUAUGUUCUCUGAGGUGCUGCAUUAGAAAUCUGAGAAUUUGUAGCAUAUGCUCAAGACUCCAAGUUUCUGAUGCUUCCUACAAUAUAAUAACUGACAUUUUGAUUCCUUUUGCAUUGUCUCAUCUGCUGACUUAGUGAGAAUUCUGCAAAUUGAGUUAUAGUGUGAAAUUCUACUUAAUUAUCACUAAAGAAGAAAAAAUACCAAAUGAGAUUUCUAAUUAAAAUUUUUGACACUUAUAGAGAAGUCUUUUUAACUUUCAUAAAUGAAGAAUCAAGCAGUCCAGUUAAAAUCUAGUUAAUAUAAAGUUGUCAUCUCUUCUGUGCAUUCAGUCCAUUUUCAAAGAAUUAGGAUAUGACAAGAUAUAUUUAACUCUAAAACUCAUAAUUUAACACUUUGUGAAAUGCAACAUUAUUUAAAGUUAGCAGUAUGAGCUUUUUCAUCUUUUGUUCAAACAUUCCAGUUUUACUUGAAGGUACAGGAAAAGAUGUAAGAAUCUGGUCAAAAUAAUUCAUAAUUUCUUUGUACCAGUGGUGAUUCUGCGCCUUUCUGAAUCACUUUGGUAAAGACAGCCAAAUGUGGAAUGUCCCUAUUCACACAGCACCAGAAUUUCCAAAUAUCAUCUGUGAAAAUGUGCAGUUCUUACCACACUUUUUCCUAGUUUCUUUUACUGAGCUUUAUAUUACAGCAGGUCAGUGAACUGAGAUACUCCAGCUUAUCCCAAAAACAAGAAUAUUUUCUGUGGCUCUAAUUUAUAUUGCAGCUGUGGUUAAUGCUAUGAGUGUUUAUAUAAAAAUCCAUGCAUGGAUACCUUUUCAAUAGCAGCUGGGAGACUGCAGUCAGCAAAAUCCUCAGCAAAGUACUGUCAGUUUUUUUUGAGUCAGCACUAAGACAAACCAAGAAGAUUUUCUCUUCCUGUUAAUGCAUUGGAAUUAAACCAUUAAACAUGGAUGAACGUGAAGAGUUUUAAGAGUUUUGCCCAAAUAGGAAAGGAUGAUGUUUAGCUUUGAGACAUUGUGACCAGACUUGUAUUACUCUGCACCUUUCAACCCAAAUGCUUCAUAUACUAUUUCCAAACGUUCCUCCACUUUGAAUUACAACCUGGGAAGUGACGUUUUGGCUAGUAAAGUGGAGAACAAAUGGAUGCUGUAUGGAAGGAGGCCACAAAUCUUUUUAUGUUGCUAAUAACAGGAGGACUUUUGGCUAUUGUAAUGUUACAGACAGAAAAAUCUCCUGGUUUUAAUAUGUACCUGGGGACUAGAAAGUGAUGGCAUUAGGCCAGGGACUUGACUUGUUAAAUCAUUUGUUCCAUGGAUAUCGCAGUUAUUCAUUUACAAUACCCCUUUUUCAGUUUUUAUUCAUAGAACUCAUGUGCCAGGCACUGUUUAAGAACUGAGGAUUUAAAAAUAAAUAAAGUAAAGUAAAACCCUGGUUUCUUCCCCUCAGAAGACAAGUGAGGAGCACUUGGUGAAGCAGAGAAAUCACAAUACAGCAAAUCAAGCAUAUGUAUUUAUUACAUCAUUCCAUGGAGACUAUAAUUAGCAAAUGAGUUCAGUGACUAUGUACGUGGCUCUCUCUGCUUGGGAGUGCUAUGCCGUCCUUUCUCUUUGUUCAGAACUCUCUCCUGUUGGACAUGCCUUUACACAAGCCUUUCUGAAGUUACGCUGCAUUCCCGAAAAAGAACUCAUGAACCUUCUUUUCCUGUGAGGAAUUUUGGUUUUACUUUAUGGUCCUCCUUUCCCUUUCUAUAAAAUGGAAACAGAUAUUUGCUUCAACGCCAGAGCUUGGGAGCAGUUUGUCUUCUUUUCUAAUGGUCUGUAUGUGUGCCUGCACUUUACUUCCACUUGAAAUCAUAUCUGAAAGGAACCAUGUGUUGCCAUGUGAAGGCAUGGUAUUGUCAUUAAGAAAGUGUGUACUUAUGAAAUUUUGAAUCUUCCGUACACUAAAUUCAUUAAUCCACAUCUAAAUUCUUUGAGUUUUUGUCAACUGCCAUUGUUGUCAACAUUUCACUCCCCUAAAAAUGCAGUUUGUAUAUUUCUAAUUAGACAUAGAGCAUAGACUGUAUACUACAAAAUAAAGGAAACUUGCUAUCAUUAUCACCCACAGAAAAACUAAUGUGCAAUAGAGCUAGUCUGGCUUGAUUUGAGCUGAGCUUCUGGAAAACCAGAGAAAGAAGAAAAUUUUGUAGUCUGUCCAAGAAAGUUUUACCCUUCAUUUUAGGUACUACUAAGUACCUCAAAUUGAAAAUACUAUACACACAGACACAUACAUAUAGACUUUUUAAAGGUCUAAUAUUUGCUACAUUCUUUAAAUGUGUAUUGAUUGCUCUUAAAGUCAUUCAAAUUUAAAACUCAGGGAUUCUGCUCUGUGCCAAGAGAUUAGUCAGACAUUCUUAUAUGUGACUGUAAUGUUCACAAUAUUUAUCAGUAAAAAGUGGUAUUCUGGAGGAAAGGCUUGGCUGUCCCAGAACUGUAUUACAUCAGACUCUCUCGAGGGCCUGGGGAGCCAGAGGAGCCCUUCUCCAUCUGUAGCCUGGAAAUUCCCCCUAAGUAUUUUCCCAUGUAACCAAUUUCAAUUUCCUGUGUAGAAAGUAGGUUCCCCCCAUGGAUACUUUUUGUGCCCAAAACUCAAGUCUCAAAAGAAGUCUCCAUCAAAAAAGAAAAGAAAAGAAAAUCCUGACAUGAGAGAGUUGAAAGAGAGUCAGAUAACAAUACUUGGAAAAGUGGAUGAUGGUCUCUAGAGAAGCUGAGGAUGCAAAGGAAAGACAUUCAGGAAGUAUGCAGCUUGCCUCCUUCUGCUGUGUGUGACCCAGACAGCAAACACAUGGCUGCUCCUUAUUCUUUGUGGCUACUAAAUGAAAAAUAGCCAUGAGUAAAACAUUUUUAUUUUUUCUUUCACUGAAGCAGAUUGGAUGAAGACUGUGUGCUAUGGAGUGUAUGUUUACCUGUUACACUGCACAGUUACUUAGGUAUUUUUGAUAAAAACCUCAGGAAAAAUAAGGACUGCCUCAUUAGAAUGUUUAGUUUUUAUUUUCUAGCCAAGAAAUAAAUAGCUUUGUAGAUACCUGUUGUUGCAAAUCUUUAUAUGAUGCCCAUAUCUUCUUGCUCCAACAAGAACAUCUUAGCAUCUUAAUGGCUAUUAAUGUUUGCUGUCUAGUCCUUGAGAGAGGAUUGAGGUAUUUGCUAAAUCUCAGAAAAUAGCCUGGACUCAAUCUUUUUCAUGAAAUCUUGCUUUCAGUUUGUUUCAUUUCCAAAUAUUCCUUUUACAUGAAAGGCAGAGUAACAGUAUCAAAUGGAAGUCUAAUUAUUGAGGCUUCUACAUACCUAGGUUCAUUGUAGCCAGCUUUCCCCAGUCUAGUUGAUAUAAUGGACCUAGAUAUUCAAAGCUUCUUAUUUUAGCCUGUUUCAUCUGCCUGAUUGAAUUGACCCAUCCCAGUUGCUAAUAGUCACCAGAAGUAAACCUCAUCUACUAGUACAGUGGGACGUUUGUAACAACCAGGUAUUUAAGGAGAACCACCUAGUUUAUGAUAUUACCAAUUUCUAUGGCAUAGAUACUUUGACCAUGGGUGAUUCUAAAUUAUGGACAUGGUGCUACUGACUGAGGAGUUGGCAAGAGGUCUUGAGAAGGUAUAAGGUGGCUCAGCAACCCCAGUUCCCCAGGUUGUGGUCAGCCAAAAAUGUCCCUGAAUGUCAAACCCUGACUGCCUGUAUCUCACUCAGGCAGACAUUGGGAGACAUUCAUUUUCUGUAACUUUCCCAUUACAAGUAUCUACUUUGUAGUUCCACUGAACCACAGUGGAAAGCCUGGGAGGCCCUUUCUAAUAUCCAAAAUGAAAAAAAAUUAGUCCUCUACGAAAUGGCAGCCAGUUGAAGAGGGUGUGCUAAUUAGAAUGCAUGGACAAUGUAAGAGUCAAACCUUAGACUGUAUUCAUCACCUUCCUUAAAUACGGCUCAAAAAACUGCAAACAUAAAUUUUUACUUUUUGUAGAAAUUCUUUAACUUUUAUCUCUCUAACCCAGUCUCCUGUUUUACUUUCUUUAUAGUAUGUAUUUGAGUGUGUGUGUAUCCUGAUUAUUUUUACUUCUCUCCCAGUAAACUGUAAGAGCCAUGUUCACUGCUAAUAUUCCCACUGCCUAGCAUAUAUAAAGGCUUAAUAAAUAUUCAUUGAAUAAGUAACCUGUUUUUACUUGUUUUGAUGGAUGUUAUUAAAUUAUGAUUCAUUUUAUUUCCAGAAUACUGACCCAAAGGUAAUAUUUGACAUUUUAGAGCAAAUAUCAUUAAAAUUAUUAUAGAAUUAAACAUCUACACAUAAGUGGUAUUCUUAGGAAUAAAGUAAGCUUGGAAUCAAAAUUUUAAAAUGUGUCACCCCCUGCCCCAAGUCAAGAUGGCAGUCUAGUAAGAUCCUGGGCUCACUUUCUCCCAUGGACACACCAAAACUUCAACUACAAUAGAGCAAUUAUUUCUGAGUAUGACCUGAAGACUAGCAGAACAGAUUCUCUUCAACUAAGGAUAUAAAGAAAAAAAAACACAUCAAAACAGGUAAAGAGGCAAACACAUGGUCUGAUCAGGACCCACACCCUCCAUAUGCCACAAGUUAGAGGAAUGUUAUACUUAUAGAGAUACCCUCGAGGAUCAAGAGGUCUGGGACCCAUGUAGGACUCCCCAGUCCAGGGGACCUGCAUCAGGAAAAGGAGCAUUUGCAACAUCUGACUUAUGUUCAAAAAACUGAUGUGCUGUGGGAAACUUGCUCUUAAAGAGCCUGAGCACACAUUUACUCACUUUGCAUUCCAGUGCAGAAGCAACAGUUUGAAAAGUGCCUAGGUUGUAUGUGAAACAGAUAUACUGACUAAUUUGGGGGUGUGUACCCACAAAUUAAAACUUUCUUUGGGAAUGUCAACACUGGUGGGCACAAGCUUUGACAAUUUCCAUUAACCUGCUAACAGUCUGCCCCAUUCUGUCAUUCCUCUAACCUGCCUAUCUCAACCAGCAUGUACUAAAUCUACCCCAAGGCAGUUCCCCACCCCUCAAGUACCUGGUGGUUGGCCCUACAUAGUCCCUGAGGUGCUCCAAACUGGUGCCCCACUCUGGAGGGGCCAGUCCUUGUACAUCACCAUACCCACAGCAGCAGAGGCUGGGCCCCAAAACCAGCACACCAGAGGCCUGCUCUGCGCAAAUGGAAAGUAGUAGCUGUAAUGGCCAGGCCUCCUACAUGGGUGGACUUUGGGCCAACCCCAUGCAACAAUGCAUCUACAGGAGUCAUGGCACAACCAGAAGUAUACGUGCAGCACAUACAGGGGACUCUGCUGGAGUACCUGGUUUUGAUGAUCAGGGAGAUUGUACCACUGGGUAUCACAGGACAUAGGUCCACUCUUUCAAUACCUACAGGCAUAAGUGAUCUACUUAAUACAUAGAAACAUACACAGAGACUUGGCAAAAUGAGGAGACAAAGGAAUAUGUACCAAAAGAAAAAAAGGAAAAUAGCUAGAUGAAAAGGAGAUAAGCAAUCUACCAGAUAAAAAGUUCAAAGUAAUGAUCAUAAAGAUGCUCACUGAAUUCAGAAAUGUGAAUGAACACAAAGAGUAUAUCAAAAUAUAGAUGGAAAACAUAAAAAAGGAAUCAAUCAGAACUGAGAAUGCAGUAACUGAAAUGAAAAAAAUACUAGAAUGAAUCACCAGCAGAUUAGAUAAUUCAGAAGAAUGGAUUAGCAAUAUGGAAGACAGGGCAGUAGAAAUUAACUAUUCGGAAACAAAAAGAAAAAAAAAGA
Molecule: long non-coding RNA, 6120 nt
Organism: Phyllostomus discolor (pale spear-nosed bat)
Lineage: Eukaryota; Metazoa; Chordata; Mammalia; Chiroptera; Phyllostomidae
Exons: 2
Source: RefSeq, a predicted model, not a curated record